RNAcentral lists this ribosomal RNA (345 nucleotides) under uncultured Lachnospiraceae bacterium. RNAcentral's name for it is "bacterial SSU rRNA". It matches the Rfam family "Bacterial small subunit ribosomal RNA", at positions 28 to 339 of the family's 1533-position model. Lineage: Bacteria; Bacillati; Bacillota; Clostridia; Lachnospirales; Lachnospiraceae. The record is from RNAcentral.
GAUGAACGCUGGCGGCGUGCUUAACACAUGCAAGUCGAACGAAGCGUCCCGCCCGAUGAAAUGGAGAGCUUGCUCAAAGUAGAAUCAAUUGGGAUGACUUAGUGGCGGACGGGUGAGUAACGCGUGGGUAACCUGCCUUACACAGGGGGACAACAGUUGGAAACGACUGCUAAUACCGCAUAAGCGCACGGUAUCGCAUGAUAUAGUGUGAAAAGAUUUAUCGGUGUAAGAUGGACCCGCGUCUGAUUAGCCAGUUGGCGGGGUAACGGCCCACCAAAGCGACGAUCAGUAGCCGGCCUGAGAGGGUGAACGGCUACAUUGGGACUGAGACACGGCCCAAACUCC